UACGGAGGGAGCAAGCGUUACUCGGAAUUAUUGGGCGUAAAGGGCGCGUAGGCGAUUCGAAAAGUCAACUGUGAAAGCCCAGGGCCUAACCCUGGAAGUGCAGCUGAUACUGUUGAAUCUGAGUUCCGGAGAGGAAGGCAGAAUUCCCGGUGUAGCGGUGAAAUGCGUAGAUAUCGGGAGGAAUACCAGUGGCGAAGGCGGCCUUCUGGACGGAUACUGACGCUGAGGCGCGAAAGCUAGGGGAGCAAACGGG
Molecule: ribosomal RNA, 253 nt
Filed under: uncultured bacterium
Lineage: Bacteria
Description: partial 16S ribosomal RNA
Rfam family: Bacterial small subunit ribosomal RNA
Source: RNAcentral